Drosophila willistoni is the source of this 1348-nucleotide RNA transcript. RefSeq lists it as uncharacterized. Lineage: Eukaryota; Metazoa; Arthropoda; Insecta; Diptera; Drosophilidae. The transcript is spliced from 3 exons. The record is from RefSeq and is a predicted model, not a curated record.
CAAGAUCUUAAUAGAAGCUAAUUCGAGCUCGGGGAGAGAAGAACUGUAAUAAAGAAGCUAAGAAGAAAAAAAAAAAACUACAUUGAAAAUGGAGUGUCGCAAAUAUUGGAAAAAUUCCGCUGUCUUUAAAAUUAAUCCAGACAGCGUUAAUAAUAAUGUAACUCCCAAAAAUUGUAUUUGUGAGCGUCCACGAAACAAUGUAAUUGUCUGCGAACAUUGUCAGAAAUCGUUUUUUGGCCGCAUAAGUCAAACAUGUCCCGAACAUCCUGAGGUGGCCUUUUUAAUGGAUGCCCGUAAUUGCGGCUUCUGUGGGGCCCCAGCCAAUUAUUUAAAAAUCGUUGGAAUCAAAAAGAACUAAGCAACGUACGAUGUGAUGGAGAGAAGAGGUACAUAUUUCAGUAAGAAGGGAGGAGGUGUAGGCAUCGUUGACGAUCCUACUAUGUGACAGCAAAUAAACAAAAACAUAUGGCCGCACCCAAUACGAUGGCCAAUCUAUACAUAAACAAUAUGUAGAAAACUUUGAAUCAGCAUAUUAAUGCAUUCGUUCGCUUCUACAUGAAUCUAUUGAAGCUUAUUCCGUUACACGAACUGCAAGGUUCACACGAAGUGAAAAAUAUCGAUAACUAAAUGUCUUUGUUAUUGUUUGAAGUUUUUUAUUUCAUUUUCAUUGUAUAACUUAAUCAAAAUAAAGUCUUGUGGAACAUAAUUAAGCACUUUUUAUUUUUAAAAUACAAAAACAUGCAUAACAAUGCAAUUUGACAGAGUUAUCCUUAAAAUAAAGUCAUUUUGAUUACGACUGUCGUGUAAACGAUUCUUUUUUUUAGUACUUCGAUUUCUCAUGUUGUACAACACUAACAAACGCCGUUAUUCAAACAAUCACGGUCAACGCUGCGUCAAAAAACUUUUUUUUUAAAUAACUCCAAAUAUUCUUUUUUCUGUUCUCGUCGAGGCAACCAUUUAGGUAAAUGUCAGAACAAUCAUUAACAGCGACGAAUCAAUUCUGGCAUUUCUGUGUAAUUCGUCAGCUAAGCAAAUUUCUACGAAAAAUUAAGUGAAUCGGCCAUGAACUGCUGCCUCCACUGCUCUGGUACUGGUUACCAGCCUAAACGCCCCAAGAGUGCUGUGCGCAAGCGCCUGGAUCGCUACUUGAAUUGUUCAAAAUGUUUGGGCCCCAAUGAUGAAACCAAUUCUGUGGAAGCCGAAGCCGACUGCAAUAAUAAUCAGAUAGUCCAUCCAAAUGCCAACAAGCCUGCAUGCAUUUGUUACCGUCCACAGCAUGCCUAUGAAUGUGACCGAUGUCAUCAAUUUUUCCAUGGACGUUUGUGUGAAAUUUGUCCACGACACAAGG